CACGUAGGGGGCAAGCGUUGUCCGGAUUUAUUGGGCGUAAAGCGCUCGUAGGUGGUUCGGUAAGUCGGGUGUUAAACCCCCAGGCUCAACCUGGGGACGCCACUCGAUACUGCUGUGACUAGAGUCCGGUAGGGGAGCGUGGAAUUCCUGGUGUAGCGGUGAAAUGCGCAGAUAUCAGGAGGAACACCAGCGGCGAAGGCGGCGCUCUGGGCCGGUACUGACACUGAGGAGCGAAAGCGUGGGGAGCAAACAGA
RNAcentral lists this ribosomal RNA (254 nucleotides) under uncultured bacterium. Its description in RNAcentral is "partial 16S ribosomal RNA". It matches the Rfam family "Bacterial small subunit ribosomal RNA", at positions 524 to 776 of the family's 1533-position model. The record is from RNAcentral.